CUGGCCUCAGAUCAUCACGAGCACCAAGAAAAUGCUUCUGGAUGUUGGAAUGUCAGCCUCGACUCCGCUUCUUUCUGAACUCGCUUGUUCUGCUUCGGGCUCCCAUGUCAGCAGUGUCGUGGAGAGCUCGUCCGUGUGAAGGGACAGCAUCCCGGCCAGGCCAUGGAUGGUGGCCCGGGAGGAGGAAGUGUGAGCGGGUCAAGAGAGAGAGAAGGCAUGAGAGAGGCACUCUGCUCGGAUGACACAGCCCACACUGUUUUGCCACAGAUUUGUGGUGUAUCACAGCUCGAGGGAGUCCUGGAGGCCACCCAGGCCAGGGUUUCUCAUGUUGUUGACCAUGUGCACCAGGAGGUGAGGCCUGGGAAUCCACCUACUUAGUGGCUCAGGAGAGCUGGCCCAAUAACCAGCUGGUACAGAGGCCUCAUUUCAUCGAGGAGCAGUCUGGACUGGAGAGGCCACAGGACUCGGAACAGCACCAGAUUGAAAGCAGAGCCCAUUUGAGACGUGGCUUAAAGAGGGACACCAUGCUGUCCAAACGUGGGUGUAGACAGAGCAGACACAGCCUCUUUUAUCUGCUUAUUGUGGCUCUGGGAAGACAGCUCCCCAACCCCUCCAUUCCUCUCUCAUUUGUUCAUCUUGAAACCCAUUAAGAGGGCACAAAACCUUUAUGUCACAGUGGGAGAUAAUAUGUGAAUGAUUCUUAGAAAGGUAAGAGGUAUAGGCUGGGCGCGGUGGCUCACGCCUGGAAUCCCAGCACUUUAGGAGGCCAAGGUGGGCGGAUCAUGAGGUCAGGAGAUCGAGACCAUCCUGGCUAACACGGUGAAACCCCGUCUCUACUACAAAUACAAAAAAAUUAGCCGGGCAUGGUGGCGGGCGCCUGUAGUCCCAGCUACUCGGGAGGCUGAGGCUGGAGAAUGGAGUGAACCCGGGAGGCGGAGCUUGCAGUGAGCCGAGAUUGCGCCACUGCACUCCAGCCUGGGCAACAGAGCGAAACUCCGUCUCAAAAAAAAAAAAAAAAAAAGAAAGAAAAAAAAGAAAGGUAAGAGGUAUAAAAUAUCCCCCAAGCUAAGGAGGCGCUGUAAUAGGCAGCUCUCCACUUUUGAGAAGAUUAGCUAUUGGAGGAAGAGGUGGCAUGAAACGGCACAGGACCCAAAAGGUGCCCUGCAUGGAGGGAACAUCCCAGAUCACAGAUCAAAGACUGGAUGCAGGGUGGGAAUCCUGUUUUCUAAUUUUUUAUUAUAAAAAUUUCCAAACACACAAAAAUUAAAAGAAUGAUGUACUGAUCACCCAGAUAUCUACCACUUAUAUUCAAAAACUUAAAACAUUCCCAUAGAUGUGCAUGAUCUAUCUAUAGGUCCAUCUGUGUGUGUGUGUGUGUGUGUGUGUGUGUGUGUGUGUGUGUGUGUGUGUGUGUGUCUGGUCGAGGACCAGCAUUUCAAUAAAGGAUAGGGAGUGCUCAACAGGAAACAAGGACAAGACACAGAGGCUGAGGUGGGCAGAUCACUUGGGGCCGAUAGUUCGAGACCAGGCUGACCAACAUGGUGAAACCCCGUCUCUACUAAAAUUACAAAAAAAUUAGCUGGGCGUGGUAGCGCAUGCCUGUAAUCCCGGCUACUUGGGAGGCUGAGGCAGGAGGAUCGCUUGAACAUGGGAGGCGGAGGUUGCAGUGAGUUGAGAUCGCGCACUUCACUCUCGCAACAGAGCGAGACUCCAUCUCAAAAAAAAGAAAGAAAGAAACUUAGUUACAAAGAUUUGAACUUUAACUUGAUGUAGUUAAGUUUAAAUGUAUGUGGAAUAAACCGUGGCAGGGUUUGAUUUAAUUUUAAUUGUUUUUUGCUUUUGUCUUAUUUAGAGAGGUAAAUGAGAUGCUUUGGCAACUGUUGAGGAAGAGAGGAAACAGACUUCAAUGCAGUUAAGAUGGACAUAAGCAGGUUGGAAGGCAGCCAGAGGGAAUUUUUGCAGAAGGAGUGACCCAGUCUUGGGGACAGAGAAUAUGGAUUUGUUUUCCCCAAAGAAUUUAUUGAGCUCUGUGUGUAGUGAGCAUGGCUGGA
Molecule: long non-coding RNA, 2051 nt
Filed under: Homo sapiens (human)
Lineage: Eukaryota; Metazoa; Chordata; Mammalia; Primates; Hominidae
Description: HSALNT0081800
Source: RNAcentral